UACGUAGGGCGCAAGCGUUGUCCGGAAUUAUUGGGCGUAAAGAGCUCGUAGGCGGCUUGUCACGUCGGGUGUGAAAGACCGGGGCUUAACCCCGGUUCUGCAUUCGAUACGGGCUGGCUAGAGUGUGGUAGGGGAGAUCGGAAUUCCUGGUGUAGCGGUGAAAUGCGCAGAUAUCAGGAGGAACACCGGUGGCGAAGGCGGAUCUCUGGGCCAUUACUGACGCUGAGGAGCGAAAGCGUGGGGAGCAAACAGG
Molecule: ribosomal RNA, 253 nt
Filed under: uncultured bacterium
Lineage: Bacteria
Description: partial 16S ribosomal RNA
Rfam family: Bacterial small subunit ribosomal RNA
Source: RNAcentral